UACGGGGGGGGCAAGCGUUGUUCGGAAUUACUGGGCGUAAAGGGUUCGUAGGUGGCCAACUAAGUCAGACGUGAAAUCCCUCAGCUUAACUGGGGAACUGCGUCUGAUACUGAUUGGCUCGAGUGCAGGAGAGGAACGCGGAAUUCCAGGUGUAGCGGUGAAAUGCGUAGAUAUCUGGAGGAACACCGGUGGCGAAGGCGGGUCUCUGGGCCGAUACUGACGCUGAGGAGCGAAAGCGUGGGGAGCGAACAGG
This 253-nucleotide ribosomal RNA is filed under the name uncultured bacterium. RNAcentral's name for it is "partial 16S ribosomal RNA". It matches the Rfam family "Bacterial small subunit ribosomal RNA", at positions 524 to 776 of the family's 1533-position model. The record is from RNAcentral.